Molecule: ribosomal RNA, 460 nt
Filed under: uncultured bacterium
Lineage: Bacteria
Description: partial 16S ribosomal RNA
Rfam family: Bacterial small subunit ribosomal RNA
Source: RNAcentral
CCUACGGGGGACAGCAGUGAGGAAUAUUGGUCAAUGGGCGAGAGCCUGAACCAGCCAAGUCGCGUGAAGGAUGACGGCCCUACGGGUUGUAAACUUCUUUUGUCAGGGAGCAAUUUGGUCCACGCGUGGGCUUAGCGAGAGUACCUGAAGAAAAAGCAUCGGCUAACUCCGUGCCAGCAGCCGCGGUAAUACGGAGGAUGGGAGGUUUAUCCGGAUUUAUGGGGUUAAAGGGGUGCGUAGGCGGAAUAUCAAGUCAGCGGUAAAAAUUCGGGGCUCAACCCCGUCGUGCCGUUGAAACUGAUGUUCUUGAGUGGGCGAGAAGUAUGCGGAAUGCGUGGUGUAGCGGUGAAAUGCAUAAAUAUCACGCAGAACUCCGAUUGCGAAGGCAGCAUACCGGCGCCCAACUGACGCUGAAGCACGAAAGCGUGGGUAUCGAACAGGAUUAGAUACCCGGGUAGUC